UUUCAUGAUGGAUUUUACAAAACAAUAUACGCUGGAAAUUACCGGCAGAGGCUUUCGGGCCGUUGAAGAAAUAAAAUGGCUAUAUCUGAUU
Molecule: small nucleolar RNA, 91 nt
Filed under: Fonsecaea erecta
Lineage: Eukaryota; Fungi; Ascomycota; Eurotiomycetes; Chaetothyriales; Herpotrichiellaceae
Description: A. fumigatus snoRNA Afu_300
Rfam family: A. fumigatus snoRNA Afu_300
Source: Rfam by way of RNAcentral